AUGUUCCUUUAUGAUUUGUUACUGUUACGGCUGGUGCCUUAUUGUGUUUACUGUGUUGGUGGAGGAGUGAGAGCUCUUCCACAAUGUAAUAUCUAUCCAAAUGAGCAGGACAGCAGGGAGUGGCCAUCACCAAGGAUGCUGAUUGGGUCUCCCCAGGGUGUGGCCCUACAUAAGGACUGUCUACCCCAGAAGCUGGUGGAGAGCAGUAGUGGCUGUGUGACUCUCCCUUGCUUGCUGGCCACCAAGAGUGUAUCUGGCUGUGGGAAGUGUGUGUGUGUAUUCAGUGUCCCUGGUUUACCCAGCGUUUUGAGUUAUUUCCUUGUAUUCAGUGUUCCUGGUUUACCCAGCGUUUUGAGUUAUUUCCUUGUAUUCUCAGUGUUCCUGGUUUAACCAGCGUUUUGAGUUAUUUCCUUGUAUUCAGUGUUCCUGGUUUAACCAGCGUUUUGAGUUAUUUCCUUGUAUUCAGUGUUCCUGGUUUAACCAGCGUUUUAGUUUGAACUGUACCUGGAAUUAUUGUUUAUAUUUUGUAAAGAAGCUGUAGGGGUGAGCUGCCAUUUCAUUUUUUUUUUCUAGUGUUUUUGUGUAUAGGCUUAAUAUAGGAGUUUAUUUAUUAUUUUGGCCUUGGUUCACCCUGACGUUUAUGCUUCUGUUUUUGUGUUUAAUUGUUGGGCAAUAAAUGACCUUUGCCUUAUUCA
Molecule: long non-coding RNA, 695 nt
Filed under: Gouania willdenowi (blunt-snouted clingfish)
Lineage: Eukaryota; Metazoa; Chordata; Actinopteri; Blenniiformes; Gobiesocidae
Description: lncRNA (ENSGWIG00000017772.1)
Source: RNAcentral